This 301-nucleotide ribosomal RNA is filed under the name uncultured bacterium. RNAcentral describes it as "partial 16S ribosomal RNA". It matches the Rfam family "Bacterial small subunit ribosomal RNA", at positions 509 to 807 of the family's 1533-position model. The record is from RNAcentral.
CAGUAGCCGCGGGAAUACAGAGGGUGCAAGCGUUAAUCGGAAUUACUGGGCGUAAAGCGCGCGUAGGUGGUUUGUUAAGUUGGAUGUGAAAUCCCCAGGCUCAACCUGGGAACUGCAUCCAAAACUGGCAAGCUAAAGUAUGGUAGAGGGUGGUGGAAUUUCCUGUGUAGCGGUGAAAUGCGUAGAUAUAGGAAGGAACACCAGUGGCGAAGGCGACCACCUGGACUGAUACUGACACUGAGGUGCGAAAGCGUGGGGAGCAAACAGGAUUAGAUACCCCUGUAGUCCCUGUCUCUUAUAC